Molecule: ribosomal RNA, 253 nt
Filed under: uncultured bacterium
Lineage: Bacteria
Description: partial 16S ribosomal RNA
Rfam family: Bacterial small subunit ribosomal RNA
Source: RNAcentral
UACGAAGGGUGCAAACGUUGCUCGGAAUCCUUGGGCGUAAAGCGCACGUAGGCGGCCUCAUAAGUCGGAUGUGAAAUCCCUCGGCUCAACCGAGGACGUGCAUCCGAAACUGUGAAGCUCGAGUAUGGAAGAGGGUCGCGGAAUUCCCGGUGUAGAGGUGAAAUUCGUAGAUAUCGGGAGGAAUACCAGUGGCGAAGGCGGCGACCUGGGCCAAUACUGACGCUGAGGUGCGAAAGCGUGGGGAGCAAACAGG